GAUGAAGAACGCAGCGAAAUGCGAUAAGUAAUGUGAAUUGCAGAACUCAGUGAAUCAUCGAAUCUUUGAACGCACAUUGCGCCCCCUGGUAUUCCGGGGGGCAUGCCUGUCCGAGCGUCAUUGCUGCCCUCAAGCACGGCUUGUGUGUUGGGCCUCCGUCCUCCUCCCGGGGGACGGGCCCGAAAGGCAGCGGCGGCACCGCGUCCGGUCCUCGAGCGUAUGGGGCUACGUCACCCGCUCUUGUAGGCCCGGCCGGCGCUUGCCGACACAUCAAUCUUUUUUCCAGGUUGACCUCGGAUCAGGUAGGGAUACCCGCUGAACUUAAGCAUAUCAAUAAGCGGAGGA
This 345-nucleotide unclassified non-coding RNA is filed under the name soil metagenome. RNAcentral's name for it is "partial contains 5.8S ribosomal RNA, internal transcribed spacer 2, and large subunit ribosomal RNA". The stretch from base 1 to 120 matches the Rfam family "5.8S ribosomal RNA", at positions 35 to 154 of the family's 154-position model. The record is from RNAcentral.